RNAcentral lists this ribosomal RNA (1623 nucleotides) under Triticum aestivum (bread wheat). RNAcentral's name for it is "partial small subunit ribosomal RNA". Lineage: Eukaryota; Viridiplantae; Streptophyta; Magnoliopsida; Poales; Poaceae. The record is from RNAcentral.
AUGAAGAUGGCGACUUGCAUUCGUAAGGUGGCCUCGGAGGAGUUUGGAGUGUCCAGGGGAAGGAGAAGCGAAGAUAAGGAUACCUGGUGGUGGAAUGAUGAUGUCCAGAAGGCGCUUAAAGAGAAGAAAGAUUGCUUCAGACGCCUAUACCUGGAUAGGAGUGCAGGCAACAUAGAGAAGUACAAGAUGGCGAAGAAGGCCGCAAAGCGAGCUGUUGGUGAAGCAAGGGGUCGGGCAUAUGAGGACCUCUACCAACGGUUAGGCACGAAGGAAGGUGAAAGGGACAUCUAUAAGAUGGCUAAGAUCCGGGAGAGGAAGACGAGGGAUAUUGGCCAAGUCAAAUGCAUCAAGGACGGAGCAGGCCAACCCUUGGUGAAGGAAGAAGAGAUUAAGCAUAGAUGGCGGGAGUACUUCGACAAGCUGUUCAAUGGGGAGAAUGAGAGUUCUACCAUUAAACUGAAUGACUCCUUUGAUGAGACCAACAUGCGUUUUGUGCGGCGCAUCCAGGAGUCUGAGGUGAAGGAGGCUUUAAAAAGGAUGAAAGGAGGCAAGGUGAUGGGCCCUGAUUGUAUCCCCAUUGAGGUGUGGAAAGGUCUCGGGGACAUAGCGAUAGUAUGGCUAACCAAGCUUUUCAACCUCAUUUUUCGGGCAAACAAGAUGCCAGAAGAAUGGAGACGGAGUAUAUUAGUACCAAUCUUCAAGAACAAGGGAGAUUUUCAGAGUUGUACUAAUUACCGUGGAAUUAAGCUGAUGAGCCAUACAAUGAAGCUAUGGGAGAGAGUCAUUGAGCACCGCUUAAGAAGAAUGACAAGCGUGACCAAAAAUCAGUUUGGUUUCAUGCCUGGGAGGUCGACCAUGGAAGCCAUUUUCUUGGUACGACAACUUAUGGAGAGAUAUAGGGAGCAUAAGAAGGACUUGCAUAUGGUGUUCAUUGGCUUGGAGAAGGCCUAUGAUAAGAUACCGCGGAAUGUCAUGUGGUGGGCCUUGGAGAAACACAAAGUCCCAGCAAAGUACAUUACCCUCAUCAAGGACAUGUACAAUAAUGUUGUGACAAGUGUUCGAACAAGUGAUGUCGACACCGAUGACUUCCCGAUUAAGAUAGGACUGCAUCAGGGGUCAGCUUUGAGCCCUUAUCUUUUUGCAUUGGUGAUGGAUGAGGUCACAAGGGGUAUACAAGGAGAUAUCCCAUGGUGUAUGCUCUUUGCGGAUGAUGUGGUGCUAGUUGACGAUAGUCGGACGGGGGUAAAUAGGAAGUUAGAGUUAUGGAGAAAAACCUUGGAAUCGAAAGGGUUUAGGCUUAGUAGAACUAAAACCGAGUACAUGAUGUGCGGUUUCAGUACGACUAGCUGUGAGGAGGAGGAGGUUAGCCUUGAUGGCCAGGUGGUACCUCGGAAGGACACCUUUCGGUAUUUGGGGUCAAUGUUGCAGGAGGAUGGGGAUAUUGAUGAAGAUGUGAACCAUCGAAUCAAACCCGGAUGGAUGAAGUGGCGCCAAGCUUCUGGCAUUCUCUAUGACAAGAGAGUGCCACAAAAGCUAGAAGGCAAGUUCUAUAGGACGGCGGUUCGACCCGCAAUGUUGUAUGGCGUGGAGUGUUGGCCGACUAAAAGGCGACAUGUUCAAUAG